GAUGAACGCUGGCGGCGUGCCUAAUACAUGCAAGUCGAGCGAACAGACGAGGAGCUUGCUCCUCUGACGUUAGCGGCGGACGGGUGAGUAACACGUGGAUAACCUACCUAUAAGACUGGGAUAACUUCGGGAAACCGGAGCUAAUACCGGAUAAUAUAUUGAACCGCAUGGUUCAAAAGUGAAAGACGGUUUUGCUGCCACUUAUAGAUGGAUCCGCGCCGCAUUAGCUAGUUGGUAAGGUAACGGCUUACCAAGGCGACGAUGCGUAGCCGACCUGAGAGGGUGAUCGGCCACACUGGAACUGAGACACGGUCCAGACUCCUACGGGAGGCAGCAGUAGGGAAUCUUCCGCAAUGGGCGAAAGCCUGACGGAGCAACGCCGUGUGAGUGAUGAAGGUCUUCGGAUCGUAAAACUCUGUUAUUAGGGAAGAACAAAUGUGUAAGUAACUAUGCACGUCUUGACGGUACCUAAUCAGAAAGCCACGGCUAACUACGUG
RNAcentral lists this ribosomal RNA (497 nucleotides) under uncultured bacterium. RNAcentral's name for it is "partial 16S ribosomal RNA". It matches the Rfam family "Bacterial small subunit ribosomal RNA", at positions 28 to 507 of the family's 1533-position model. The record is from RNAcentral.